GAUGAACGCUGGCGGCGUGCCUAAUACAUGCAAGUCGAGCGAACGGACGAGGAGCUUGCUGCUCUGAUGUUAGCGGCGGACGGGUGAGUAACACGUGGAUAACCUACCUAUAAGACUGGGAACACUUCGGAAAACCGGCGCUAAUACCGGAUAAGCUUUUGCACCGCAUGGUUCAAAAGUGGAAGACGGUCGUGCGGUAAGUACUAGAUGCAUAUGCGCUGCAUUGGCUAGUUGGUAAGGUAACGGCUUACCACGGCAACGAUGCAUAGCCGACCUGAGAGGGGGGUCGCCCGCCUUGGAGGGGAGACAGCGUCCAGGGGCCUAAGGUAGGCAGCAGUAGGGAAUCUGCCGCAAUGGGCGAAAGCCUGACGGAGCAACGCCGCGUGUGUGAUGAAGGUCUUCGGAUCGUAAAACUCUGUUAUUAGGGAAGAACAUAUUUCGAAGUAACUGUGCACAUCUUGACGGUACCUAAUCAGAAAGCCACGGCUAACUACGUG
This 497-nucleotide ribosomal RNA is filed under the name uncultured bacterium. RNAcentral's name for it is "partial 16S ribosomal RNA". It matches the Rfam family "Bacterial small subunit ribosomal RNA", at positions 28 to 507 of the family's 1533-position model. The record is from RNAcentral.